RNAcentral lists this unclassified non-coding RNA (259 nucleotides) under Hevea brasiliensis (rubber tree). The record is from RNAcentral. Lineage: Eukaryota; Viridiplantae; Streptophyta; Magnoliopsida; Malpighiales; Euphorbiaceae.
UUAAAGCUAGACAUUAAGAGAAAGUCCAGGGCUUUAUCCUUCUACAUCAAUCUCACAAAAGUGUGACAUUCAGCCCAUAAUUUUCCACUAUGAUUCUGUAGCAGACAUUCUUAUAUGCUUUUUCUUAUCAGCGCUAGCUUGAAAUAUGGUCCUUCCACGAGCUCACUCAACAUGUUCUCCAACCCUUCCAUGAGCCUACUAGUAAUCUUAAUAGGGCCUGUAAAAAGCCCUUUCCAAGUGUCAAGCUGCAGGCUUGGAG